Arvicola amphibius (Eurasian water vole) is the source of this 1320-nucleotide long non-coding RNA. RefSeq lists it as uncharacterized. The transcript has 4 exons. NCBI's taxonomy places the organism in Eukaryota, Metazoa, Chordata, Mammalia, Rodentia, Cricetidae. The record is from RefSeq and is a predicted model, not a curated record.
CCUGUGCCUGCCCCAUGCCUGCCCUAGCAGUGAUGGCAAGGGAUUUACCACUUUGUAUGGUGUGCCUGAUUUUCUGAAGGUAGCCUGAAGGUAGAACCACCCAUGGCUGAAUCCUCGCCUCCUCAAGGGCCUUUGCUGUGCACCUAUCCCACCUGAUGUCCGUUGCUCAUCAUAGGUGUGGGUGGUGUCUGUCUCUCUGUUGGGGGUGUGUGUGUCCUGUGAGGUUUCUACCUCAGUGACACUGAUGUCAGCCCUUCCUUUCUCUCAUAUCUGUUUGCUAACACAACUGAGUUAAGAAGCAACCACCCUCAUCUUCAAAUUAAGCAGGAAGAAUUGUCACCACAGAGUUUACAAGUCCCUGCCCUCUUGGUGUGAGAAGAGCAGGAUUUAAAUGGUCUAGUUUAUUUCUGGAGGACUCUAAUCUAGCAGCACAGCGCCAUGGGGAAGGAGUGGCAGCCUGCCUGAGGAGCACGGAUACCACUGUGCUAUGUCCGCUCUGACAAACGGCUACUCAUGUGGGCCUGAGUAAAGGUUCAUAGCAGAGAGGCCUGGCUCACAACACAAUGAUGUGGGAGGGUCACAGAACUUCUGAAAAGACAACUCAUCAGAGACAAGGAAGACAGUGUGCCCGGGACCUUGGUCAGAACACAGCGUUGAAAGUAUUUACUGAGGAUGGUGUGUAUCGGAAAGCAGCCUUCGUUUGUACCAUGAGUUCCGACUCUUCUUGGAAACACAAGCACAUGUCUAUGUGUACACAUGCACAGGGUGCUGUCUGAGAACCUGUGCUCUGCAAUGGAUGGAUACGACCUUGAAGCCCAGAGGCCUCUGCGUAUCACCUGGGUCACCUGCUGGGGGCAGGAAGCUGACCUACCUUGUCCUGGAAGUCAGGGUUAGAGCCAAAGCUGCAGAGAAGCUGCACCACAUCCGCGUGUCCAUAACGGGCUGCCACAUGAAGGGCUGUCUCUCCAGACUGCAAGAGAAGACCAGAACUCAGAACCACUCAAGAGACCAUGCCUUCCAUUUGCUCCCCAGAGAUGAAGGGCAGGACGUGGGGUCAGGCGGCCCCUAGGCAGCAAGGGCUGCACACUCAUACCUGGUUCAUCUCGUCACUAACAACAACUCGGUGAGACUAUGUUCCCGUUACCGUGAGGGCCAUGUUUUACCUCCUUCGUGGACAGAUGAUUUCAGCCACUCAACUUGAAACUAAGACUCUCCCCUGCCCCCGCUCUUGUACACAUGCACAAACCCCUUUAAGGUCAGGCUCAUCAUUCUGCCAUUAUUUAAAUGUGUAGCUUUUUAAUUAAAUCGUUAACUACUUCC